RNAcentral lists this ribosomal RNA (1000 nucleotides) under Oenococcus oeni. Its description in RNAcentral is "bacterial SSU rRNA". It matches the Rfam family "Bacterial small subunit ribosomal RNA", at positions 56 to 1022 of the family's 1533-position model. The record is from RNAcentral. Lineage: Bacteria; Bacillati; Bacillota; Bacilli; Lactobacillales; Lactobacillaceae.
UGCAGUCGUACGCUAGCCGCUGAAUUGAUCCUUCGGGUGAAGUGAGGCAAUGACUAGAGUGGCGAACUGGUGAGUAACACGUAAGAAACCUGCCCUUUAGUGGGGGAUAACAUUUGGAAACAGAUGCUAAUACCGCGUAACAACAAAUCACACAUGUGAUCUGUUUGAAAGGUCCUUUUGGAUCGCUAGAGGAUGGUCUUGCGGCGUAUUAGCUUGUUGGUAGGGUAGAAGCCUACCAAGGCAAUGAUGCGUAGCCGAGUUGAGAGACUGGCCGGCCACAUUGGGACUGAGACACUGCCCAAACUCCUACGGGAGGCUGCAGUAGGGAAUUUUCCGCAAUGCACGAAAGUGUGACGGAGCGACGCCGCGUGUGUGAUGAAGGCUUUCGGGUCGUAAAGCACUGUUGUAAGGGAAGAAUAACUGAAUUCAGAGAAAGUUUUCAGCUUGACGGUACCUUACCAGAAAGGGAUGGCUAAAUACGUGCCAGCAGCCGCGGUAAUACGUAUGUCCCGAGCGUUAUCCGGAUUUAUUGGGCGUAAAGCGAGCGCAGACGGUUUAUUAAGUCUGAUGUGAAAUCCCGAGGCCCAACCUCGGAACUGCAUUGGAAACUGAUUUACUUGAGUGCGAUAGAGGCAAGUGGAACUCCAUGUGUAGCGGUGAAAUGCGUAGAUAUGUGGAAGAACACCAGUGGCGAAAGCGGCUUGCUAGAUCGUAACUGACGUUGAGGCUCGAAAGUAUGGGUAGCAAACGGGAUUAGAUACCCCGGUAGUCCAUACCGUAAACGAUGGGUGCUAGUUGUUAAGAGGUUUCCGCCUCCUAGUGACGUAGCAAACGCAUUAAGCACCCCGCCUGAGGAGUACGGCCGCAAGGCUAAAACUUAAAGGAAUUGACGGGGACCCGCACAAGCGGUGGAGCAUGUGGUUUAAUUCGAGAUACGCGAAAAACCUUACCAGGUCUUGACAUACCAAUGAUCGCUUUUUGUAAUGAAAGCUUUUUCUUC